ACGCGAAGAACCUUACCAGGUCUGACAUCCCUUGACCACUCUAGAGAUAGAGCUUCCCUUCGGGGACAAAGUGACAGGUGGUACAUGGUGUCGUCAGCUCGUGUCGUGAGAUGUUGGGUUAAGUCCCGCAACGAGCGCAACCCUUAUUGUUAGUUGCCAUCAUUAAGUUGGGCACUCUAGCGAGACUGCCGGUGACAAACCGGAGGAAGGUGGGGAUGACGUCAAAUCAUCAUGCCCCUUAUGACCUGGGCUACACACGUGCUACAAUGGACAGUACAAUGAGCAGCGACACGGCGACGUGAAGCGAAUCUCAUAAAGCUGUUCUCAGUUCGGAUUGUAGGCUGCAACUCGCCUACAUGAAGCCGGAAUCGCUAGUAAUCGCGGAUCAGCACGCCGCGGUGAAUACGUUCCCGGGCCUUGUACACACCGCCCGUCACACCACGAAAGUUUGUAACACCCGAAGUCGGUGAGGUAACCGCAAGGAGCCAACCGCCUAAGGUGGGAUAGAUGAUUGGGGUGAAGUCGUAACAAGGUAACCAAGGGCGAAUUCCAG
RNAcentral lists this ribosomal RNA (553 nucleotides) under uncultured Vagococcus sp. Its description in RNAcentral is "bacterial SSU rRNA". It matches the Rfam family "Bacterial small subunit ribosomal RNA", at positions 959 to 1516 of the family's 1533-position model. The record is from RNAcentral. Lineage: Bacteria; Bacillati; Bacillota; Bacilli; Lactobacillales; Enterococcaceae.